UUUGGGAUCUCUUAAGAAACUUAAACGAAUUCCUCAUGAUUUACCUGUAAAAAAUGAUUUAUAAGCAGACUUUUCAUGCUAAG
This 83-nucleotide small nucleolar RNA is filed under the name Salix viminalis (osier). Lineage: Eukaryota; Viridiplantae; Streptophyta; Magnoliopsida; Malpighiales; Salicaceae. The record is from RNAcentral.